Molecule: ribosomal RNA, 253 nt
Filed under: uncultured bacterium
Lineage: Bacteria
Description: partial 16S ribosomal RNA
Rfam family: Bacterial small subunit ribosomal RNA
Source: RNAcentral
GACGCACCGUGCAAACGUUGUUCGGAAUCACUGGGCUUAAAGGGCGCGUAGGCGGGCCAGCCAGUCUGUGGUGAAAGCCCCCGGCUUAACCGGGGAAGUGCCGUGGAUACUGCUGGCCUCGAGGAGGAUAGGGGCAUCUGGAACGGUCGGUGGAGCGGUGAAAUGCGUUGAUAUCGACCGGAACUCCGGUGGCGAAGGCGAGGUGCUGGGUCCUUUCUGACGCUGAUGCGCGAAAGCCAGGGGAGCAAACGGG